This is a long non-coding RNA of Ochotona curzoniae (black-lipped pika), 546 nucleotides long. RefSeq lists it as uncharacterized. Lineage: Eukaryota; Metazoa; Chordata; Mammalia; Lagomorpha; Ochotonidae. The transcript has 2 exons. The record is from RefSeq and is a predicted model, not a curated record.
AUUUCUGAAAACAAACAUCACUCUCAGUUUCACAGGGUCGCCCCAUGUUUGCCCGCAGCUCCAAGCUGCGCUCGCAGUGCCAGUACUGCCUUGUACCCGACACAGGCAAAGAACGUGGGGGGUCGAGGGUGGACUCCACCGACUGGUACCGCCCGCAAGGACACCGGACCCCGCGAAGGCGGAGACAGUGGCGAAGUGGCCAGGACUCACCCCUCCUCCGUAUCCCGGGUUCCUAAGGAAAGGAAUUAUACUGUGUACCACAACAAAUGAGGACUUCUGAGCAGUGACAAUGCCAGGUACAAUGGAUGUGGGUGCAACAAGUCCAGUAUGUGCACCACCCAGGCUCCACUCAUCUUGGCUGAUCUCGGUUACUCAUCUUACCUUUCCCUUUAAUCACAAAGUUCAAUUGCUACAACUACACUAUGAAAAAUGAAAAGCUGGCAGCACACUCAGACACAAUGUUUGAGGGACUUCAAUCAAGUCACUGUUUACAAAGCUGUUGAUACAGGUGGAAUAUAGAGCAUCCCACACUCAGCUGCAAGGAGC